AGUGAACGCUGGCGGUAGGCCUAACACAUGCAAGUCGAACGGCAGCACAGUAAGAGCUUGCUCUUACGGGUGGCGAGUGGCGGACGGGUGAGGAAUACAUCGGCAUCUACUUUUUCGUGGGGGAUAACGUAGGGAAACUUACGCUAAUACCGCAUACGACCUACGGGUGAAAGCAGGGGAUCUUCGCACCUUGCGCGAUUGAAUGAGCCGAUUUCGGAUUAGCUAGUUGGCGGGGUAAAGGCCCCCCAAGGCGACGAUCCGUAUCUGGUCUGAGAGGAUGAUCAGCCACACUGGAACGGAGACACGGUCCAGACUCCAACGGGAGGCAGCAGUGGGGAAUAUUGGAGAAUGGGCGCAAGCCUAAUCCAGCCAUACCGCGUGGGUGAAGAAGGCCUUCGGGUUGUAAAGCCCUUUUGUUGGGAAAGAAAAGCAGCAGGUUAAUACCCCGCUGUUCUGACGGUACCCAAAGAAUAAGCACCGGCUAACUUCGUG
Molecule: ribosomal RNA, 492 nt
Filed under: uncultured bacterium
Lineage: Bacteria
Description: partial 16S ribosomal RNA
Rfam family: Bacterial small subunit ribosomal RNA
Source: RNAcentral